CAAAGAGUAGUUAAAAUAGAAUGCUAGCUUUGGGAGUUGGUGAUGGGAGUUAAAAUCUCUCCUCUUUGA
This 69-nucleotide transfer RNA is filed under the name Synodus macrops (triplecross lizardfish). Its description in RNAcentral is "tRNA-Pro". It matches the Rfam family "tRNA". Rfam says of the family: Transfer RNA (tRNA) molecules are approximately 80 nucleotides in length. Their secondary structure includes four short double-helical elements and three loops (D, anti-codon, and T loops). Further hydrogen bonds mediate the characteristic L-shaped molecular structure. tRNAs have two regions of fundamental functional importance: the anti-codon, which is responsible for specific mRNA codon recognition, and the 3' end, to which the tRNAs corresponding amino acid is attached (by aminoacyl-tRNA synthetases). tRNAs cope with the degeneracy of the genetic code in two manners: having more than one tRNA (with a specific anti-codon) for a particular amino acid; and 'wobble' base-pairing, i.e. permitting non-standard base-pairing at the 3rd anti-codon position. Lineage: Eukaryota; Metazoa; Chordata; Actinopteri; Aulopiformes; Synodontidae. The record is from RNAcentral.